RNAcentral lists this long non-coding RNA (320 nucleotides) under Hordeum vulgare. Its description in RNAcentral is "long non-coding RNA (HVUL_LNC003300)". The record is from RNAcentral. Lineage: Eukaryota; Viridiplantae; Streptophyta; Magnoliopsida; Poales; Poaceae.
GUAAUUUCCCUGCAUAUCAGUAGCAUUAGCGCGAAUACGAGCAUAAUAUUGACCAUUUGAGGAUUUUCAUCCUCGUGAAGACUUUGGUUCACCUCAGGAAAUUGAUCUUGGUUUCUGGUUCUUCAUAGGUGGUGUCAUGAGGAUAUUCACCUGGAGAUUUUCAAAGCAACCUUUUGGAACCCAGAUUUUCCUCAUGGGUGGUCCAUUCCUGCAAUUAGUUCCAACAUAUCGAGCAAAUACUUCACCAGGUUGAUUUUUGAACAGUUUAUAGUUGGAGUCAAAUGACUCAUCUGAGGAAUAGAUUCAUAGUAGAUGGAUCG